Molecule: ribosomal RNA, 497 nt
Filed under: uncultured bacterium
Lineage: Bacteria
Description: partial 16S ribosomal RNA
Rfam family: Bacterial small subunit ribosomal RNA
Source: RNAcentral
GACGAACGCUGGCGGCGUGCCUAAUACAUGCAAGUAGAACGCUGAAGCGAGGAGCUUGCUCUUCUUGGAUGAGUUGCGAACGGGUGAGUAACGCGUAGGUAACCUGCCUUGUAUCGGGGGAUAACUAUUGGAAACGAUAGCUAAUACCGCAUAACAAUGGAUGACACAUGUAAUUUAUUUGAAAGGGGCCAUUGCUCCACUACAAGAUGGACCUGCGUUGUAUUAGCUAGUAGGUGAGGUAAUGGCCCACCCAAGCGACGAUACAUAGCCGAGCUGGGAGGGAGAUUGGCCCCACUGGGAAUGAGACACGGCCCAGACCUCUACGGGGAGGAGCAGGAGGGGAUCUUCGGCAAAGGGGGGCACCCUGAACGCGCAACGACGGGUGAGUGAAGAAGGUUUUCGGAGCGGAAAGCUCUGUUGUAAGUCAAGAACGGGUGUGAGGGUAGAAAGUUCACACUGUGACGGUAGCUUACCAGAAAGGGACGGCUAACUACGUG